This 440-nucleotide ribosomal RNA is filed under the name uncultured bacterium. Its description in RNAcentral is "partial 16S ribosomal RNA". It matches the Rfam family "Bacterial small subunit ribosomal RNA", at positions 338 to 795 of the family's 1533-position model. The record is from RNAcentral.
CCUACGGGUGGCUGCAGUGGGGGAUAUUGCACAAUGGGGGAAACCCUGAUGCAGCGAUGCCGCGUGAAUGAAGACGGCCUUCGGGUCGGAAAGCUCUAUCAGCAGGGAAGAAAAUGACGGUACCUGACUAAGAAGCCCCGGCUAACUACGUGCCAGCAGCCGCGGUAAUACGUAGGGGGCAAGCGUUAUCCGGAUUGACUGGGUGUAAAGGGAGCGUAGACGGCAGCGCAAGUCAGGAGUGAAAUCCCCUGGCUUAACCAUGGAACUGCUUUGGAAACUGUGCAGCUGGAGUGCAGGAGAGGUAAGCGGAAUUCCUAGUGUAGCGGUGCAAUGCGUAGAUAUUAGGAGGAACACCAGUGGCGAAGGCGGCUUACUGGACUGUAACUGACGUUGAGGCUCGAAAGCGUGGGGAGCAAACAGGAUUAGAUACCCAUGUAGUC